AUGGCGCCCCUGGAGUCAAGCUCCUCACAGCUCUUCUUCGACAGCACGUUCGAUGUCUACGACUGCGGUACCUUGGCAGGCACCAGAGUCGUGCCAGAUCCACCUCCAUUACCUGGAACUUCUUAUGGCAAGCAGAGAAGUUCCAGGAAUGCAAAAGAGGCUCGUUGUGUUCAUGAUGUCCCUGAGGAGGUCCGGGACUGCUGGAACAGGCUUUUCUUGGAAGGAUAUCAAGCCGAUGUCCGCGUAUCGACGGAUGAUGGAAGCGAGAUUUUAUCGCAUUCCUGCAUUCUUGGCAUCAGAUCUCCCGUUCUAAGAAGUAUGUUGGAAGAAGCUAGAGUGGAAGAUGGUUUCAGAAACAUCCUGAUUUCUGGUGUCCCAUCUGAAGCAGCCCGUGUCUUCAUCAGGUUUCUGUAUUCUUCACGCUUUGAGCAGGAUGAGAUGAAGAAAUAUGCCCUCCAUUUGCUCGUACUCUCUCAUGUUUUCUCGGUACCAUCGCUGAAGAUCGUCUGCACCGACCAGCUCGAGAGGUUUUCUCUUGCUCCUGAUAACGUGGUGGACGUUCUACAACUGGCUAGACUCUGUGACGCGCCAAGGCUCUCGCUCAUGUGUACUCGCAUGAUCACUGGAGAUUUCAAGACCAUCUCUCUGUCAGAAGGGUGGAAAGUCAUGAGACGGGCCAACCCAAGCCUGGAGCAAGAGCUUCUUGAGUUUCUUGUUGAAGUGGACACAAGAAGGCAAGAAAGAGCUAAAAGGAUGGAGGAAAAGAAGGUUUAUCUUCAGCUGUAUGAAGCUAUGGAAGCUCUUGUUCAUAUAUGCAGAGACGGUUGUAGGACGAUUGGCCCCUGGGAUCAGAAACUGAAGGGCAGUCAGGUUGUUUGCAAGUUUCCUGCCUGCAAGGGCAUCGAGUUGCUGGUGCGCCAUUUCUCGGCAUGCAAAAUGCGUGUUCCGCGUGGCUGCUCCAACUGCAAGCGUAUGUGGCAGCUUCUUGAGCUGCAUUCGCGAAUGUGUUCUACACCGGGCACCUGCAGGGUUCCUCUAUGCAGGCAUUUUAAGGAUAAAAUGCGGCAUCGGAGCAAGAAAGAAGAACUCAAAUGGGUCCUAUUGGUGUGUAAGGUCCUAGGGAGUAAAGGAACAAUUGAUUCCGUCCUAAAAGCGAGAAAAAUCUCACCCCUCAAGCCAAUUGGAGCUUGA
Molecule: ribosomal RNA, 1191 nt
Filed under: Triticum aestivum (bread wheat)
Lineage: Eukaryota; Viridiplantae; Streptophyta; Magnoliopsida; Poales; Poaceae
Description: partial small subunit ribosomal RNA
Source: RNAcentral